UUGGACGGUCAUAGCGGCAUGGUUCCACUGGAUCUCAUUCCGAACUCCAAAGUUAAACAUGCCUGCGUUUCGACUUGUACUGCAUUCUAGCGGGAACGUCGAUUUGCUGUCCACC
Molecule: ribosomal RNA, 115 nt
Filed under: Candidatus Nanoarchaeia archaeon
Lineage: Archaea; Nanobdellati; Nanobdellota; Candidatus Nanoarchaeia
Source: RNAcentral